RNAcentral lists this ribosomal RNA (296 nucleotides) under uncultured Coxiella sp. RNAcentral's name for it is "partial 16S ribosomal RNA". It matches the Rfam family "Bacterial small subunit ribosomal RNA", at positions 503 to 798 of the family's 1533-position model. The record is from RNAcentral. Lineage: Bacteria; Pseudomonadati; Pseudomonadota; Gammaproteobacteria; Legionellales; Coxiellaceae.
CGGUGCCAGCAGCCGCGGUAAUACAGAGAGUGCAAGCGUUAAUCGGAAUCACUGGGCGUAAAGCGCACGUAGGUGGAUAUUUAAGUCGAAUGUGAAAGCCCCAGGCUUAACCUGGGAAUUGCACCCGAUACUGGGUAUCUCGAGUAUGGUAGAGGGAAGUGGAAUUUCCGGUGUAGCGGUGAAAUGCGUAGAUAUCGGAAAGAACACCAGUGGCGAAGGCGGCUUCCUGGACCAAUACUGACACUGAGGUGCGAAAGCGUGGGGAGCAAACAGGAUUAGAAACCCCGGUAGUCCUA